CCCUCAGAUAUUAGUAGGUUAGUAUGUUUUCAACAUCCAUAAAAGCCUCUCGGUAUUCAUUAAGGCAGUGCAGAAAAGGAAAAACCACAACCUCUACCGUCUCUGCCCACUGUCAGUAGUAAUAACAACAGCAACAAUGAUAAUAAGACGACGAAGAAGAAAAAGUAGAAGAAUAGCAUCAACAAUAACAGCAGUAGCAGCAGCAUAGUUAGUAGCAAUGACAGUGGGGAGCAAGGCAGAAUGGAUGGAAAAGCUGUGAAUGAUAUUUAGAGUAACAUAUCUAGCA
RNAcentral lists this long non-coding RNA (286 nucleotides) under Medicago truncatula (barrel medic). Its description in RNAcentral is "lncRNA gene5764". The record is from RNAcentral. Lineage: Eukaryota; Viridiplantae; Streptophyta; Magnoliopsida; Fabales; Fabaceae.